This 408-nucleotide ribosomal RNA is filed under the name uncultured bacterium. RNAcentral describes it as "partial 16S ribosomal RNA". It matches the Rfam family "Bacterial small subunit ribosomal RNA", at positions 28 to 526 of the family's 1533-position model. The record is from RNAcentral.
GACGAACGCUGGCGGCGUGCUUAACACAUGCAAGUCGAACGAAGUGGCGAACGGGUGAGUAACGCGUAAACAACCUGCCCUUCAGAGGGGGACAACAGUUGGAAACGACUGCUAAUCCCGCAUACUGAAGGUGGGGUUUGCGUCUGGUUAGCUAGUUGGGGGGGUAACCGCCCACCAAGGCGAAGAUCAGGAGCCGGUCUGGGAGGGUGGACGGCCAAAUUGGGACUGAGGCACGGCCCAGACUCCUACGGGAGGCAGCAGGGGGGAAUCUUCCGCAAUGGACGAAAGUCUGACGGAGCAAAGCCGCGGGAGGGAUGACGGCCUUCGGGUUGUAAAGCUCUGUUAAUCGGGACGCGGUACCGGAAUAGAAAGCCACGGCUAACUCCGUGCCAGCAGCCGCGGUAAUUC